This 982-nucleotide long non-coding RNA is filed under the name Homo sapiens (human). RNAcentral's name for it is "non-protein coding lnc-ZC3H12C-5:3". The record is from RNAcentral. Lineage: Eukaryota; Metazoa; Chordata; Mammalia; Primates; Hominidae.
ACUGUAGCAUUAAACCUUUUGUGUCACAUUGCUUUGCCACUCUGCUGACGAAGUCUUCAUCUUCACUCAGGCUCACCCCAUCUUUUGGAAAUAUUUGAGGACUUGGCUGAAGGUGAAGACCAUAAAUUCAUCAAGGAUCGUUUCAGAGCCAAAAGCAGUGAAGCAGAAAGCAAGACCAUCAGCGGAAAGUGAAGAUGGAGCAGUAGGUACCACAAAUUUGAGGAGAAAACAAUCACUCAUACAUGAAUGCAUCUAUUCCCUAUUUCUGACUCCUUCUGGAUAUUCUUGGGCUGAAAAUCUCCUAGAAUUCGGUGUUCAAUCAAAAUUGCUGUAAGUAUACAUUUUCCGUUGACUUCCACCCUAAGUUGAAAGUGAGUACCUGGGACUAGAUUGCUUGUUUCCCCUCUAUGCCUCUGUCCUUAGUCACUAAGCUCACUUACCUGCCCCCAUCCUAGACUCUGAAGACGAUAUAGACCCUAAGUCAAGUGACCUAAUCUAUCCCAAUUACUCAAGUCUCCGGUGGUUCAGUGACUUAGCAGCAAGCCUGCCCUGCUGAUAAUCCUGCUGUUCCUGUAAACUGCAGCCCUAAUUAUGGACUCUCUCUCCUAUUUUAUCACUGUGCUAGUUGCUGUUUGUUUGGAGAAUUGUUUUGUUUUAAUAUGUUUGCUGGUCAGUUGCUCAUCUUUUUUUUUCUUUUUUAACCGAAUCCCUGCCUUCUUCUGCUAGUUCAGUAGUUGGCUCCUUCCUUGUUCCCUCAUGCUUGAAUAUUUUUGUAAUUCCCCAGUUCCUCUGAGAUUUGAAUCCUAACUUUCAGAGACUGGAGUCCAGAAUCCUAGUUCCCAUAGCCAUGUCUUUACUACCUUCUAACAAAUUAAUGCUUAAACAAGCAGCCACGGGUUGGAGAGUCAUCAGGGUUCCCACUGUCCAUCGCCAACCUGCAUGUCUUCCACAUGCCAGGCACAGAAAAACUAAGGGCACCACA